Long non-coding RNA from Solanum tuberosum (potato), 1619 nucleotides. RefSeq lists it as uncharacterized. The record is from RefSeq and is a predicted model, not a curated record. The transcript has 3 exons. Lineage: Eukaryota; Viridiplantae; Streptophyta; Magnoliopsida; Solanales; Solanaceae.
CUAGAGAAAAGAACGUGGCUCUUCACUCUUGUCCUCUCUUCUUCUCUUCUUCCUUCAGUGGUAAUAUGCAAAUUGGGAAUUAAAGCAAUAAGAAUUUUCUUGAAGAGAAGUGUUUGUGAUCUAAAUUGGUAGACAACUAUUAUUUUUUGUUCAAAAGUUGUGGAAAUUCAUCAAGAACUCAAGUUGGGUUGAUUUCAAAUAGGAUGUUUGAAGGGAUUUGAUGACUAUGUGAGGGAUGCAACUUUGCUGGUUUAAUUGUUGAAGACUUGUGAUACUAUCUUUAGUUUGGAAAGAAUCCAAGAAGAUCAAGUUUACAGGGCAAAAGACAUCCAUGUUAGGUUCUUUUGUCGACUUCAAUUGGUGUUUUGAAGAGCUCAAUCUCUAUACAGAUCCAACUUAUGUCUAGCACUUUUGAUUAUAUGUACAAGUUGCUAUUGGUUACAUCGAGGUCUAUCUCGACAAGGUAUGGCAGUACAAUGUAUUAAAUCUACUAGACGCUUCCUAGACAUUGUGAUGUGUAUCAUGUUGUGCAAUUUUUAGCCCAACAACUUUAUAGCCUAUAUUUGUAACAUGUGUUGGUUAUAUUCCGCUCAUUUAUUAGCUUAUUUUUAGAGCAAGUGUUCAUACGACUCUUGUCCUUGCUCUUUUUUGGGGCGUGACAAUUGUAGAUUACAACAAUACAUACUAACUUAUAAUCAUCACAAAACUCAUCAUAUCCAAAACCAUAUCUAAAAUGGAUAUUACUCGUCAAUCAUUGUAUAGACUGAGAGAAUUUGUUGUACUUUUAAUUGUUGGAUGCCUUAAAAUAAAGUCUCUUAUCCCACCGCCCAGACAAAACAAUCUAUUGAUAAACCCUACAAUAAAAAAGAUAUACUGGAAUUUUCCAUGGGACAAUUCAAGUCAUUUGUCUCAAUAACAUAGUUAUUAUAGAAUAAAGAGUUAAAAGAACAGUCCUGAAGAUUGUUAUUAGCCAUAUCCAAUUUCAUCAUGACCCUAUGGUAAGUACACUUCUUGUUAUCAACAAAUACCCUGAGAUGAUCCUUGAUGAAUUCAAGGCUAGAUAUUAAAGAAAGAUAAGAUUUCAAAACAAACCUAAAUAACUAGAGAUAUUUCAUUGAAAGUCUAGAGAGCAUUUCAGUGAUAAGUUCUGUUGGAAGACAAGGAAUUGUCAAGAUUGAAUAUUUUAUUGAAGUUGAUUAAAGUUCAGCAAAGUUUGUAUGUUUGCUCCUAUUUGGGGUUUAUGAGAGGCUUCAGAUGCCAUUUGGAUAUUAGAAAUAUUGCACCAAAGUUGAUGGAAAUUAACAAUGGUGGUUAAUUGGUUUGCUCUGUUUUUUGUUUAAUGGAUGUUAAUAUUUCCCUCAGAUUCCAUUUCGAUUGCAGAAACUUUUCAGCUUUCAGAGAAGGUUUGAUUUUCUUGCUUUUUAUGGAAGAUUCUUAAGUUUCCUACACGUUUUACUUGUUGAAUGAAUUACUCCAAAAUGAAACUUGUAGACUGAUGAUAUUGUUUUUGCAUGGAUUAGUAAUAUUUCUUUUUUAUGUAUUUCCAUUGAUUCAUUGACUUGAUUCUUAAGUCAAAUAGAGUUUCACUUGAAACAACAUAAGACCAGGGAUGUUAUCUG